Molecule: ribosomal RNA, 465 nt
Filed under: Vreelandella stevensii
Lineage: Bacteria; Pseudomonadati; Pseudomonadota; Gammaproteobacteria; Oceanospirillales; Halomonadaceae
Description: partial 16S ribosomal RNA
Rfam family: Bacterial small subunit ribosomal RNA
Source: RNAcentral
CCUACGGGAGGCAGCAGUGGGGAAUAUUGGACAAUGGGGGGAACCCUGAUCCAGCCAUGCCGCGUGUGUGAAGAAGGCCCUCGGGUUGUAAAGCACUUUCAGUGAGGAAGAACGCCUGGUGGUUAAUACCCAUCAGGAAAGACAUCACUCACAGAAGAAGCACCGGCUAACUCCGUGCCAGCAGCCGCGGUAAUACGGAGGGUGCGAGCGUUAAUCGGAAUUACUGGGCGUAAAGCGCGCGUAGGUGGCUUGAUAAGCCGGUUGUGAAAGCCCCGGGCUCAACCUGGGAACGGCAUCCGGAACUAUCAAGCUAGAGUGCAGGAGAGGAAGGUAGAAUUCCCGGUGUAGCGGUGAAAUGCGUAGAGAUCGGGAGGAAUACCAGUGGCGAAGGCGGCCUUCUGGACUGACACUGACACUGAGGUGCGAAAGCGUGGGUAGCAAACAGGAUUAGAUACCCUAGUAGUC